RNAcentral lists this ribosomal RNA (501 nucleotides) under uncultured bacterium. RNAcentral's name for it is "partial 16S ribosomal RNA". It matches the Rfam family "Bacterial small subunit ribosomal RNA", at positions 30 to 523 of the family's 1533-position model. The record is from RNAcentral.
AUUGAACGCUGGCGGCAGGCUUAACACAUGCAAGUCGAGCGGAGCGAGGGUGCUUGCACCUUAGCUUAGCGGCGGACGGGUGAGUAAUGCUUAGGAAUCUGCCUAUUAGUGGGGGACAACAUUCCGAAAGGAAUGCUAAUACCGCAUACGCCCUACGGGGGAAAGCAGGGGAUCUUCGGACCUUGCGCUAAUAGAUGAGCCUAAGGCGGAUUAGCUAGUUGGUGGGGUAAAGGCCUACCAAGGAGACGAUCUGUAGCGGGUCUGAGAGGAUGAUCCGCCACACUGGGACUGAGACACGGCCCAGACGCCUACGGGAGGCAGCAGUGGGGAAUAUUGGACAAUGGGCGGAAGCCUGAUCCAGCCAUGCCGCGUGUGUGAAGAAGGCCUUUUGGUUGUAAAGCACUUUAAGCGAGGAGGAGGCUACUAGUAUUAAUACUACUGGAUAGUGGACGUUACUCGCAGAAUAAGCACCGGCUAACUCUGUGCCAGCCGCCGCGGUAA